AACUUUUGUUCACUAUACUGAGCUACAAUGAUAGUGGUUCUGCUCCCUGACAAAUACCGGGAUUCAGCUAAUCUCUGCAGCUUUGCCAGUCAGCUGAGCUAGGAUAGGAUUAACAUGCUCAUGUGUAAACUGAUGUGACCAACAAGGCCACAUGCUCCAGCAUGGAACUGAAGGAUAAUAGUUGCUUCUGCCUCAUAAGACUGAUGUGAGGAUAAAAUGAGAUGUGUAAAGUACUUUGCAGAUACAGUGCUUGAUAAAGUGCAGCUAUUAUUGUUGGAGGCAAGGCUGCUUACAGUCCGGGCCAAGUUUAUCUUCAGGCAAUUAUUAUUAUUAUUAUUUCUGAGACAGGGUCUCCCUCUGUUGCCCAGACUGGAGUGCAGUGGCACAAUCUCGGCACACUGCAACCUCUGCCUCCCAGGCUCAAGCAUUCUUGUUCCUCAGCCUCCUGAGUAGCUGGAAUUAUAGGCUUGAACCACCACGCCUGGCUAAUUUUUGUAUUUUUAGUUUUGCAAUGUUGGCCAGACUGGUCUUGAACUCCUGACCUCAAGCUCAAGUGAUAUGCCCUCUUUGGCCUCCCAAAGUGCUGGGAUUACAGGCAUGAGCCACCAUGCCCUGCCCAGACAAUUAUUUUGAAUCUUCUUUAACACCAAGACAAAUAGGGCAUAAAGCAUGACUUAAAAUUUUUUAACCUGGAAAUAUUUUAAAGUAGUUGUAACCCGCUAAGCUAUUAAAGACAAACAAACAACAACACAUGUGCAGAAAUUCCAUAAGCACCCAUAUAUUACCUGGCUUUGAGAAAUGUAAUUUACUUUUGUCCUUUCAGAUAAGCCAGCUGCAGAAUAUAUCCUGAGGUACCUGCUUUAUGGAAUUAUUCACACUAUUCACCAACAGGAAGAAUAAAGUCAAUCAAUUCAAGGAGUCUCAGAACAGGAGCACAUAGACACCAAACUUUGUGGGACAACAAAUAUAAUGAAGAGUAUGUUUGCGUCUUUCAAACAAAGCCACGUGAAGUCAAGGCCCUUAACACCCACCCCUCCCACAUACUGAGGGGAGAAUUCAGAUGCCCACUGGAGUCAGCCGAUCAGACUGCCUUUUGCACACUCCUUGCCUCCACUCCAGUUUACCGUGGAAGACCUGUCUGCUAUGGCUGAAUCUGAGAGAGAUCCUUGAGUAACGAAUUAAGGAAUGAACAAAUGUUGCUCUGGACAAAGCUGCAGCUUCCACGUCCUGCAUAACUGCACUCAGUACUGACCCUGAAGAUAGGAAAAGCAAUACAACUGGUGCUAGAAAUGUUAUGAGAAUGACUUGGAUGAGCUGAAAAAUGAAUGAUCUCCUUGAACAAGCUCCUUGGAAACCACAGGGUUGUCAUGGUAGCUGUUAUCAAGGAGAAGGGAGUGAGAAGAUGCUGACAACACCCUGUUUCUCUUCCCUAACGAGGUGUAAGGCCAGAUGCCCCCUUCGUCUACACAGAUUCUACGCUCCCUUAUGCUGCUUGCCUGGAAUUUCGCUUUGCUGCAGAGACAUCUGGAAAUGUGGAUUGAGGGUGGAAAUAAAAUGAAGAUGUCCUGGAAACUUCCAACUGAUCCUUGGGUCUAAUUGGUGUGGGAUAUGCAGCACAAGCGUGAGAAGCCAUGAAGUGAGAGCCCCAACAGGGGCUCAGAGUCAAAAACCUAGAUAUUAGCUCCCAAAGUCCUUCCGAAUCUGCUCCAGCUCCCCACAUCACUCCUAGCUGCCCUUGGCCCUCUC
Long non-coding RNA from Homo sapiens (human), 1746 nucleotides. NCBI's taxonomy places the organism in Eukaryota, Metazoa, Chordata, Mammalia, Primates, Hominidae. The record is from Ensembl.